GGAAGAGGCUCUGGGCUGGCACAUGUUGAUGAUGACAGCCUUUUCAUCUAUGACUGCAGUGCUGCAGAAAAGAAGUCACAAGAAAAUAAAGGGGAGGACGCGCCCUUGGACCAGGGGAGCGGUGCGAUUCUGGCGUCCACCUUCUCCAAGUCUGGCAGCUAUUUUGCUUUAACCGAUGACAGACCGUGGCAAGGAGGUGUACAGCCCUGACCUUCACAGCCUCGGAGGAGAAGGUCUUGGUGGCCGACAAGUCUGGAGACGUCUACUCCUUUUCGGUGCUGGAGCCACACAGGUGUGGCCGUCUAGAGCUGGGGCACCUGUCUAUGCUGUUAGAUGUGGCUGUGAGUCCUGACGACUGCUUCAUCCUCACUGCCGACCGGGACGAGAAGAUCCGAGUCAGCUGGGCGGCGGCGCCCCACAGCAUCGAGUCCUUCUGCUUGGGGCACACAGAGUUUGUGAGCCGCAUCUCCCUGGUGCCAACUCAGCCCGGGCUGCUUCUGUCCUCCUCUGGGGAUGGCACCCUGAGGCUCUGGGAGUACAGGAGCGGCCGCCAGCUGCACUGCUGUCACCUGGCCAGUCUGCAGGAGCUGGUGGACCCCCAGGCCCCCC
RNAcentral lists this small RNA (609 nucleotides) under Pongo abelii (Sumatran orangutan). Its description in RNAcentral is "processed transcript". Lineage: Eukaryota; Metazoa; Chordata; Mammalia; Primates; Hominidae. The record is from RNAcentral.